Molecule: non-coding RNA, 30 nt
Filed under: Cricetulus griseus (Chinese hamster)
Lineage: Eukaryota; Metazoa; Chordata; Mammalia; Rodentia; Cricetidae
Source: RNAcentral
UGGUAGGGACAACUGACCUUGUUGAUGAAU